GCUGUGUCACGUGAACACAAAGCCACUAAGAAAUGAGAAUCACAAAUGGGCAGGACGGCGGGGACAGAAUCCCCAGUGACUUCAUCUUCCAACCUCCGCCCCACGCCACCACUACCACUCUCUAAUCAUCUCCUUUUCCCCCCCUCUCUAUAAAAACCCAUCUCCACUCCUCUUCUUCCCUAUCAUCUUCUCGCUUCUUUAAAUAAAAAACAAAGAAAAGACAAACACCCAGUUGGAGGAAAAUGUCGGAUUGGGGUCCAGUAUUCAUAGCAGUGGUGCUAUUUGUACUCUUAAGUCCUGGGCUGCUGUUUCAGGUUCCUGGGCACCACAGGUGCGUGGAGUUUGGGAAUUUUCAGACCAGUGGUGCUUCUAUUAUGAUCCAUUCUCUGCUUUAUUUCGCUCUUGUUUGCGUCUUCUUGCUAGCUGUUAAGGUUCACUUGUACCUUGAUUAAUUAGUAAGUACUAGUGAUCAUGGUAUUUUGUUUUGUUUAAGUUGUAUCCUAUACAUAAGCUAUUUACUAAUGCAUCAAUGCAAGUAUUUGUAAUUCUUUGAGAUUAUUGAAUUAUUAGUGAAAUGGGUUUGCAAUUGGGAAAGAGAAAAGCAUGGUGAAUGUAAUGUGGAUUGGAAGUAUGCAAUAAUUAGCCUU
RNAcentral lists this unclassified non-coding RNA (647 nucleotides) under Hevea brasiliensis (rubber tree). Lineage: Eukaryota; Viridiplantae; Streptophyta; Magnoliopsida; Malpighiales; Euphorbiaceae. The record is from RNAcentral.